GCCCAGUAGCGGCGAGUGAAGCGGCAAGAGCUCAGAUUUGGAAUCGUGUUUCGGCACGAGUUGUAAAUUGCAGGUUGGAGUCUUUGUGGAAGCGUGUGUCCAAGUCCCUUGGAACAGGGCGCCAUUGAGGGUGAGAGCCCCGUGGGAUGCGCGCGGAAGCAACAAGGCCCUUCUGACGAGUCGAGUUGUUUGGGAAUGCAGCUCUAAGCGGGUGGUAAAUUCCAUCUAAGGCUAAAUACUGGCGAGAGACCGAUAGCGAACAAGUACUGUGAAGGAAAGAUGAAAAGCACUUUGAAAAGAGAGUGAAACAGCACGUGAAAUUGUUGAAAGGGAAGGGUAUUGGGCCCGACAUGGGGAUUGCGCAUCUCUGCUCCUUGUGGGCGGGGCGCUGUGCUUUUCCUGGGCCAGCAUCGGUUUUUGCCGCAGGAGAAGGGGUACUGGAAUGUGGCUCCUCGGAGUGUUAUAGCCAGUGCCAGAUGCUGCGUGCGGGGACCGAGGGCUGCGACAUCUGUCUCGGAUGCUGGCACAACGGCGCAAUACCGCCCGUCUU
This 550-nucleotide ribosomal RNA is filed under the name Pichia pseudolambica. RNAcentral describes it as "eukaryotic LSU rRNA". It matches the Rfam family "Eukaryotic large subunit ribosomal RNA", at positions 77 to 655 of the family's 3401-position model. Lineage: Eukaryota; Fungi; Ascomycota; Pichiomycetes; Pichiales; Pichiaceae. The record is from RNAcentral.